This 474-nucleotide ribosomal RNA is filed under the name uncultured bacterium. RNAcentral's name for it is "bacterial SSU rRNA". It matches the Rfam family "Bacterial small subunit ribosomal RNA", at positions 328 to 793 of the family's 1533-position model. The record is from RNAcentral.
CUCUGUGACUCCUACGGGAGGCAGCAGUGGGGAAUAUGCACAAUGGGCGCAAGCCUGAUGACAGCCAUGCCGCGUGUGUGAAGAAGGCCUUCGGGUUGUAAAGCACUUUCAGUUGUGAGGAAGGUGGUGUCGUUAAUAGCGGCAUCAUUUGACGUUAGCAACAGAAGAAGCACCGGCUAACUCCGUGCCAGCAGCCGCGGUAAUACGGAGGGUGCGAGCGUUAAUCGGAAUUACUGGGACGUAAAGCGCAUGCAGGUGGUUUGUUAAGUCAGAUGUGAAAGCCCGGGGCUCAACCUACGGAACUGCAUUUGAAACUGGCAGACUAGAGUACUGUAGAGGGGGUAGAAUUUCAGGUGUAGCGGUGAAAUGCGUAGAGAUCUGAAGGAAUACCGGUGGCGAAGGCGGCCCCCUGGACAGAUACUGACACUCAGAUGCGAAAGCGUGGGGAGCAAACAGGAUUAGAUACCCUGGUAG